This 575-nucleotide long non-coding RNA is filed under the name Monodelphis domestica (gray short-tailed opossum). Its description in RNAcentral is "lncRNA (ENSMODG00000048247.1)". The record is from RNAcentral. Lineage: Eukaryota; Metazoa; Chordata; Mammalia; Didelphimorphia; Didelphidae.
UGUGUUUUUUUUCAAAGAUCAAUAUCUUUGGUUUUCCAUUUCCUUCUCCAGCUCAAUUUACAGAUGAAGAACAGAGGCAAACAGGAUCAAGUGACUUGCCCAGGUCAUACAGAACAAAGUACUGAGCCUCAGUGAAAUUAUGUGACUUGCCAUGGGACUUGUAAGUAAUGAUAUCAAAGGCAUCAUUUGAACCCACAUCUUCAGGAUUCGGGAAGGAGCCUUCAAGAAAAAAGCAAGAUGAGCACUUGGCAAAGAUGUCAAGUCAAGAUUGUAUGAGGAUGGGGAGACAGCUGAAUGGCUCAAUGGAUUGAGAGCUAUGCCUAAAGUUGAGGGGUCCUGGGUUCAAAACUUGCCUCAGACACUUCUAGCUGUGUGACUCUGGGUAAGUCACUUACCCACUGUUGACUAGCUCUUUUCCUCGAAACCAGCACAUAAUAAUGAUUCUUUUUAAUUUUAAAAUAUUUUUCCAUGGUUACAUGAUUUAUGUUCUCUCUCUCCCCUCUUCACCCCAACUCCCGCAGCUGACAAGCAAAUCCACUGGGUAAUAACGUGUAUUAUCACUUGAUACCUAUUUC